RNAcentral lists this ribosomal RNA (371 nucleotides) under Aplanochytrium sp. PBS07. RNAcentral's name for it is "partial Bacterial small subunit ribosomal RNA". It matches the Rfam family "Bacterial small subunit ribosomal RNA", at positions 562 to 931 of the family's 1533-position model. The record is from RNAcentral. Lineage: Eukaryota; Bigyra; Thraustochytrida; Thraustochytriidae.
AAAGAGCUCGUAGGCGGUCUGUCGCGUCGGCUGUGAAAUCCCGGGGCUCAACCUCGGGUCUGCAGUCGAUACGAGCAAACUAGAGUGUUGCAGGGGAGACUGGAAUUCCUGGUGUAGCGGUGGAAUGCGCAGAUAUCAGGAGGAACACCGGUGGCGAAGGCGGGUCUCUGGGCAACAACUGACGCUGAGGAGCGAAAGCGUGGGGAGCGAACAGGAUUAGAUACCCUGGUAGUCCAUGCCGUAAACGGUGGGCGCUAGGUGUGAGUCCCUUCCACGGGGUUCGUGCCGUAGCUAACGCAUUAAGCGCCCCGCCUGGGGAGUACGGCCGCAAGGCUAAAACUCAAAGGAAUUGACGGGGGCCCGCACAAGCA